Molecule: long non-coding RNA, 315 nt
Filed under: Marmota monax (woodchuck)
Lineage: Eukaryota; Metazoa; Chordata; Mammalia; Rodentia; Sciuridae
Source: RNAcentral
GUAGGGGAAUCAAACUUAGGGUCUCACAUGCUCUAUGCCCCUAGCUGGCAUAUCAUAUUUUAUUAUAGCUUCUGCUUCCAGAAAUGUCUUUGAUUGUUAAUAUUUUUAUCAUAUCUCAUUGUCCUGUGUCAAAUUUUGUAGAUCUAAACUUCAUCAAGGAUUCUGUAUUACUCUUUGAUCAGUAACAACUUUAUGUGCUAUUUUUAGCCACCGUCCGUUUUCACAUGAUACUUUUACCAGUUAUACAAAUUAUGAACUGGACAGAGCUAAAUUUUCACCAGUGUAUGCAGUUUUGUCGGUAUAAAUAAAGCAUCC